This 253-nucleotide ribosomal RNA is filed under the name uncultured bacterium. RNAcentral's name for it is "partial 16S ribosomal RNA". It matches the Rfam family "Bacterial small subunit ribosomal RNA", at positions 524 to 776 of the family's 1533-position model. The record is from RNAcentral.
UACGGGGGGGGCAAGCGUUGUUCGGAAUCACUGGGCUUAAAGGGCUUGUAGGUGGCCAACUAAGUCAGACGUGAAAUCCCUCGGCUUAACCGGGGAACUGCGUCUGAUACUGGAUGGCUAGAGUGUGGGAGAGGGAUGCGGAAUUCCAGGUGUAGCGGUGAAAUGCGUAGAUAUUCGCAAGAACACCAGUGGCGAAGGCGGCUCACUGGCCCGGUACUGACGCUGAGGUGCGAAAGCGUGGGGAGCGAACAGG